GAUGAAGAACGUAGCGAAAUGCGAUGAGUAAUGUGAAUUGCAGAAUUCAGUGAAUCAUCGAAUCUUUGAACGCACAUUGCGCCCAUUAGUAUUCUAGUGGGCAUGCCUGUUCGAGCGUCAUUAAGUCCACUUAAGCCCAGCUUAGUGUUGGGAGACUGCUCCAGCGGUGCUACCCUGUAGCUACCCUGCAGCUCCUCAAAGACAGCGGCGGAGUUGUGGUAUCCUCUGAGCUUAGUAACUUGUUCUAGCUUUCGAGUACACCACUUCCCCUGCCGUAAAAACCCUUAAUUUUUAAUGGUUGACCUCGGAUCAGGUAGGAAUACCCGCUGAACUUAAGCAUAUCAAUAAGCGGAGGA
This 356-nucleotide unclassified non-coding RNA is filed under the name soil metagenome. Its description in RNAcentral is "partial contains 5.8S ribosomal RNA, internal transcribed spacer 2, and large subunit ribosomal RNA". The stretch from base 1 to 120 matches the Rfam family "5.8S ribosomal RNA", at positions 35 to 154 of the family's 154-position model. The record is from RNAcentral.